This 383-nucleotide ribosomal RNA is filed under the name uncultured eukaryote. RNAcentral's name for it is "partial 18S ribosomal RNA". It matches the Rfam family "Eukaryotic small subunit ribosomal RNA", at positions 592 to 976 of the family's 1831-position model. The record is from RNAcentral.
CAAUAGCGUAUAUUAAAGUUGUUGCAGUUAAAAAGCUCGUAGUUGGAUUUCUGGUGGGAGCGAUCGGUCUGGCGCUUAGCGCGAGUACUUGCAUCGUCUCCGGCCAUCCUUGGGGAGAGUCUGUCUGGCAUUAGGUUGUCGGGCAGAGGAUCCUUAUCGUUUACUGUGAAAAAAUUAGAGUGUUCAAAGCAGGCUUAUGCCGUUGAAUAUAUUAGCAUGGAAUAAUAAGAUAGGACUUUGGUACUAUUUUGUUGGUUUGCGCACCAAAGUAAUGAUUAAUAGGGACAGUAGGGGGUAUUCGUAUUCCGUUGUCAGAGGUGAAAUUCUUGGAUUUACGGAAGACGAACUACUGCGAAAGCAUUUACCAAGGAUGUUUUCAUUAA